UUAAAGGCAGUCCCCACCCCCACCUCCACCUCGGGUCCUGAAUCCCUUGACAUGCUUCUCAAACCAGAGCAGAUGUUUUUCAGAGCAAAAAACUGUGUAGUAGUUCCAGAUUACAAAGUACAUUAGGGAGUUCUGUUUCUCUGGAAACCUUCAGUGAGGUCACACAUGUUCGUAUUAUUCCUUGAAAUGUGCAGUAAACUCCCACGUCGCCCUCUCUCUUUCUCUCUCUGUAGGGGGACUUUGGGGUUAUGGGCCUGUCUGGUUGUAGAGGAGACGAGGGGGCAGAGGGGGAGCCAGGUCCUCUGGGGCAGAAAGGAGAUGAAGGAUCUUAUGGAUUACCUGGACAAAAGGGAGAGAUGGGAACACCUGGGGAGCCAGGGGUUCCUGGAGUGUCUGGAGCCAACGGAGCCAAGGGGGAGCCUGGACCAAUCGGAGGACCUGGAAAUAAGGGUGACCAAGGAGACGAAGUAAAGUUGUGCCAGUUGUGAUAAACGCCCAAAUGUAUCGGUGUAUUUUUUUAUAGUUGAAUGGAAAAAUGAUGCCAUAACCAAUAACAUUUGGACAAUGACCUCAGGCACCUGUCCACCUUUCUGUGUUUUACAGGGGGACUUUGGACCGUCUGGAGCGCCAGGCACAGAGGUUUGGAACUCAGCUAGUUCUAGAAUCAAUACAACAUCCGGACCAGGACGAACACUGUCCACAUAAUCUGACACAGGAAGACACAUAUCUUACUAGAUCACUGAACAUCAGGGUACCCCAACUGAUGGCGCAUGGGCCGAAUUUGGCCCGGGGGUGGUUUUAUUUGACCCCCCAAUUUUCUAAAAAAUAAGUGACAUCUUAUUAUGUUUUUAUUGUUGGACAACAGGAAAUCAGCUCCAAGGGAAUUUAAGAAAUCUGUUCCCAAGUAUUCACACGCAUAAUAGAGAGAAACGUGAUUGAAUACAAAUGUAAGCAGGGCUUCUUGAGGUCAAUUUGCUUUCUAUUUGUAACUAUGCUCCGGUCCACCCGACAAUCUGCUCAAGAAAUCUAGUUGAUGAUCCCUGCUCUACAUUGACUAAAUGGCUGAAUUAAAUAGUUGUAUCACUGUAAAAGAAAACACAUUAGUAUAUAAUGAAUCAAAAAAGUUGGUUUAGCUUUUGUAAACCCUUUAUUUGAUGUUUACAUUAUGGUAAAAUGGCCUUGUUGACCGAUGGGAAGUUGCCGUUUAGCUGAACAAUGCUGUUCACAUCCAAGCUGGUGACCUCUCUCUCUCUGUAACGACGUGUGCUGAGAGUCAGGAAGCAAGUUCAGGGAGUGAGUGUUUUAAUAAAUAAAUACAACUAAAUACAAAACAAGAAACACAAACAGCACACAGACAUGAAAUAGAAACAAUGAUGCCCGGGGAAGGAACCAAAGGGAGUGACAUAUAUAGGGCAGGUAAUAAAGGAAGUGAUGGAGUCCAGAUGAGUCUGACGAUGCGCAGGUGCGCGUAAUGGUGACAGGUGUGCGCCUUAACGAGCAGCCUGGUGACCUAGAGGCCGGAGAGGGAGCACACAUGACACUCUCUCUCCCUCUCUCUUCCUAUUUGUCUCUCUUAAGGGUGUAGGGGGAGAGAGGGGACUAAGAGGUGCUCCAGGAAUAAGAGGUGGUCAAGGGGAGACGGGUGACACAGGCUCUGCUGGAGCACAGGGUCAUGAAGGUCAGGCUGGAGACGUGGGUUCACAGGUGAGUGUCCCUCGGUCCUCUAUUACUCUGUGUGAUCACUUGUUCUUUCUUAUAUGGUUCCACCAACACCUUCUUGGGGAACAGGCUAGCUCUCUCAUGGGCUGUUGCUAAAUAUAGGUUGAUGUUUUACCUCCAGUCAUUGUCGCACCCCCUCUCUUCAUUUAUUCCCCCUGAAAGGGUCUGAGUGGAGUGUCUGGGCUCAAAGGAGAGCCGGGAGCCUACAGAGGAGAACCGGGACCUUACAGGCCUGUGGUACGAUGGCCAGUCAUUUAAUGAUUUUGAUGAUGACACAGCUGUACCAUGUGGUAACACAUGCAAACUACAAUGCAUAUUUUGACCAGGGUCUCUCCCCCCAGGAUGUUAAGGGCUCCAGGGGGCCUCCAGGAGCACCGGGAGAUGCAGGGCCCAUUGGGAAAAGGGUGAGUGUAUUGAAGAGCUUAUCUGAUUUAUCAUGAGGCUAAUAAUACACAAUAUUAUCUUGAUUCUCUCUUCAGGGUGAUGAUGGAACUAGUAAAGGAAUUAAAUUACUCUAUGUUUUAAUAUCCAAUUAAAAUUAAACACUCUGUCCAUUCAUAAGGACUUGUAAGACCCUUAUUCUAUAAUAAUAGACAGAGCCCAGUCUUAAAGUCAUACAGCAGAGUUUAUUCACGAGAGUACUGAACACGAUACAGGUUACCACAGGUUAUAAACUGAAAAUGACGUCAUUAGUUCCAGCACCAACCCGUGCCAUCUCCGUUCCAGUACAAAGGCUGUAUCUCAAGCCUUCCCACAUCCGUCUCCCUACCAAUUUAAUAUAAUUUACGAGUCAAGGUUUUCUCGUGUAGAUAAGCAUUCUAGCCAGUCUGAUUCAUUUGUACCAAGGAACAGACAGUCAUUGUUCUAACUCUUGACCACAUUCACACACAUUAUAUUCAGUACUGGGAUCAAGAAAGAAAACUCAUACAUUUACAGCAACAUAAUAAUAUUCGGAUUAGUACAUAUACAGUAACAUAAUAGUAUUCUGAUUAGUCAGUCCUGAUUGUAAUGUAUACAUAAUUAGUCAUCAUUGAUAAAAAUUCCCUUAACAGGAACACAAGGAGAAGGCCAACCUGGAUAUCCAGGGUUCCAGGUCUGUAUUUCUUCAGCAGUGAAAUUCUGAGCAAUAAGUAGGCAUUCAUGUUUUGAUUCUUAGUUACAAGUAUGAUUUAUCAACAUUGUCUGGACAAAAUGUCCAUGGACCUCAUUUGCCUAUUUCAGAUUUUUCUUUCAUCUUCUUACAGGGAUACCCUGGUCUGAGAGGACCUGCAGGUUUAAAGGUCUGUCUGUCUGUCUGUCUGUCUCUGUCUGUCUGGAUAUCAUGGUCUGAGAGGACCUGCAGGUUUAAAGGUCUGUCUGUCUGUCUGUCUGGAUACCCUGGUCUGAGAGGACCUGCAGGUUUAAAGCUCUGUCUGUCUGUCUGUCUGUCAGGAUACCCUGGUCUGAGAGGACCUGCAGGUUUAAAGGUCUGUCUGUCUGUCUCUGUCUCUGUCUCUGUCUCUGUCUCUGUCUCUGUGUCUGUCCAUUCCACUGUUACGUCCAGAAAAAUAAAGAUAUGAACCGGUUUAGCUCAGUAGAUUACUUUGUCAAUAAGUGCGGAUAGAGCAGGCAAACUAGUUGUUUACAUACGUGAUGGACAGACAAGUGUAGCCUAUGGUGACUGAAAUUUUGCAGGGGCGAGAGAAGGUUGAGGAGGAGGCUUGAAGCGCUGGGCAUCUUGUUAUGACAUGCGUUAUCUGAAUUAGGUCCACAGAAUUAUAUCUAGGAAGAGGAGCUUCUAUGGAGGAACUUUGAAUGUCCUUUGAGCUAACAAGCUUGUGUGUGCAGAGCGGCAGCUGAAUUAAAAACACGUUUCCUUUUUGUAGUUAACAUAUCCAAUGUGAAAUGUGAUAACUCGGCCUAUAGAAUCCUUAACUAGUAUUGUAAAAGUUAAUUAUUCUCCAGCUAAUUAAAUCUCUCUCCCUAUCUUCUGAAUCAUGCUUGUAAUGUCAGUACUGCUUUAGAGGGGGAGGGGCUACAGUAAC
Molecule: long non-coding RNA, 3743 nt
Filed under: Oncorhynchus mykiss (rainbow trout)
Lineage: Eukaryota; Metazoa; Chordata; Actinopteri; Salmoniformes; Salmonidae
Description: lncRNA (ENSOMYG00000076818.1)
Source: RNAcentral